GGCUGGUCCAAAGGUAGGGAGUUAUCUCCCUUGAUUGUUCACAGUCAGUUACAGAUUGAACUCCUUGUUCUACUACUUUCCCCCCUCCUCACUACUGCACUUGACUACUCUAAA
Molecule: unclassified non-coding RNA, 114 nt
Organism: Prolemur simus (greater bamboo lemur)
Lineage: Eukaryota; Metazoa; Chordata; Mammalia; Primates; Lemuridae
Rfam family: Y RNA
About the family: Y RNAs are components of the Ro ribonucleoprotein particle (Ro RNP), in association with Ro60 and La proteins.
Source: Ensembl